AUUGAACGCUGGCGGCAGGCUUAACACAUGCAAGUCGAGCGGGGGAAGGUAGCUUGCUACCGGACCUAGCGGCGGGCGGGUGAGUAAUGCUUAGGAAUCUGCCUAUUAGUGGGGGACAACAUCUCGAAAGGGAUGCUAAUACCGCAUACGUCCUACGGGAGAAAGCAGGGGAUCUUCGGACCUUGCGCUAAUAGAUGAGCCUAAGUCGGAUUAGCUAGUUGGUGGGGUAAAGGCCUACCAAGGCGACGAUCUGUAGCGGGUCUGAGAGGAUGAUCGGCCACACUGGGACUGGGACACGGCCCAGACGCCUCCGGGAGGCAGCAGUGGGGAAGAUUGUACAAUGGGGGGAACCGUGAUCCAGCCAUGCCGCGUGUGUGAAGAAGGCCUUAUGGUUGUAAAGCACGUUAAGCGAGGAGGAGGCUACUUUAGUUAAUACCUAGAGAUAGUGGACGUUACUCGCAGAAUAAGCACCGGCUAACUCUGUGCCAGCAGCCGCCGUAA
This 501-nucleotide ribosomal RNA is filed under the name uncultured bacterium. RNAcentral's name for it is "partial 16S ribosomal RNA". It matches the Rfam family "Bacterial small subunit ribosomal RNA", at positions 30 to 523 of the family's 1533-position model. The record is from RNAcentral.